CCCUUAACAACUCCACAACAACAACAAAACAUGGCCGAGGCUCUACCAUGCGACUUCGACUCUUGGCUCAAAAACACUCUAGUUAUUUUAAAUACAGAUGACGAAGUCUUCAGUCCCUACAUCAAAGGCAUAUUAGAAGGUGAUGAAACGACCGAGGAGAAGCUUGAAGCCUUACAAGGAAUAUUAACGGAAAUAACGGAGAAUGGAAUAGAUGACUUAUGUCAAGACAUUCUCAAGAAGUGGAAUUUGAGAGAAGUCGAUGGGCAUACCGAUGAGCCUCCUGUUAGGGUUGGCAUGGAUGAAAAAUUAGCAAAAAUCAUGGAGGAGCAGGCCCAAUGUGUGGUGACUGUCAAGACACGAUCAAAGGAGGAGGAGAAUCUCAAGAGUGCUAUACUGGCACAAUAUGCACAAGUGUCUGACGGAGAAGUUACUGAUAGUGAUCAGGAAGAGUUAGAGACUAGUGGAGGUAUUAGCACUAAGAACACCAAUGCAGAGGAGGUGUUUAAAGCAGAGAGGGAGAAGAGAGAGAGGGACAAAGAAGAGGCACAGCGCAAGAGAGAAAAGGACAAAGAAGACAGAGCUAAGCAGAAGUCUAAAGAUGAUGAGAGGAAGGAGAAAGAGAAGAAACGAACCCAAAAGGGAGAACGCAGACGGUGAUCGCCUCCACUAUUAGUUAUUAGUCAUUAUUUAAAUAAGUUUCAGCUAGCAAAUACAGAUAUUCAUAAUAUAUUGUAAACUGGAACAGAUUGCUCUGUAGUUAAAUGAGUGACGUUCUAAAGAAUAGAAGUUGGAGCAGUGAGAGGUAGUAGGUUGGUAGAUGGCAACCAUCGAGAGAGGCACUACCGUAUUGUCAUACCAGUAUGAAAUGGAAACUUGUACUGUAUAACAUUUUCCUCUCUGGCAGGCUUGCUGGACUUUUCUGCCUCAUGAAUGCAUAAGGUGACAAACUUUUUCUUAGUAUACACUUGCCUUUACUUUCCUAUGUAUUUUUUAAUGCUGCUGUUCUUAAUUUUGUAAUAUUUCCUUUCCAAUUUUGGGGGCCUGGUAUAAUACCAGCCUGUGGGGGGGCGAUGAUUCCUGGAAGCAUUAAUGUAUAUUUGGGUUCAGUGCUAUGGAAGAGUAGUUAACUAUUGAAGUGUGGGUUUGAUCUAAUAUGAAGUGGGAGCUACCACAGCUGUUUGUUUGGACUAGACGUUGUCUCAGGAACGGUUGGAGGGAGAGGGAAAAGUUAUCUUUGAGUUUUAGGGGCUUGAGCAUCAAGCAGGCUUGUGUGAACAUUAGAUAAAGAGUGAAUAAACGUUUUAAUGUAUGGGCUGUUGGACUGAGAGAAAGGUAACUUUUAUGAAGAGAUUCGGGGAAAACUGAUUAAGUCAGAACACUUCUGGCAAGACAGCGAUUGAAUGAAUGCAUUUGAAUUUUUUUUUUUUUUUUUUGGGGGGGGGGGUUACUCUUUCAUAGCAGGAGACAGCUAUUGGGUUCAAAAACAAAUGAAAAUUAGUAAUGAUGUCUUAAGUUUUUGUUAAGGCAUUGAAUAACCAAAUGGUUAGUGCUUUGUAAGUCAUACAACUCAACCCUCAGAUGAGCAAUUGCUCUUUUCAGACUUAUAAUGGUUUUCACCCAGCUUUUGCCUACUUAGCAGUGUCAGUAAUCUGCGUUCUUGACUAAUACAGUAAUAUAGUAGUUUCGGUAAAAACCACACCUGACCUUGAACCAUCUUCAGAAUGUCAUUGGUGUUUGUGGGAGUGUGCAUGAGAGAACUGGUUUGAAGCAGUAAUAUUAGGCAGUGAAUCCAAGAUAACAUAUUUUUAGCAGCAAUGUUGAAACAUCAAGAUUAGGCAUUUAACCCAAAGCUUCAGUAGGCAGGUAACUUGAACUUAGUUGGGUGAACCCAAUGCUUUGGAAUCACAGUUUCAUGUUCGCUUGAGGGGAGAAGUGAACAAAUUGCUGCAGUUUCAGGUGAAUUGUUUCUAAUUUAGUUUCAAAGUUAAGAUGUUUUAUUGUAGUUGUAAAUAAAGAGUUGUGGAUCUCUUGGAGUAGCAAGGUGAGAAUUCAUCACUUGAUAAAGGGAAGCUAAUAAGUGAUCGAUAGUUUAGCAUGGACCCAGAAGCCUUGGCGAGUGUGGGGUCAGCUAUCACUGAUCCAGCAUGUAAAAGUUCAUUAUGCCUUGUUCUCUUACAAAACUGCAUUGCUCUAGACCUUUCAGCAGUUCACCUGUCAGCCAAAUUAACCUAUAAAUAGAGAUGCUAGCCAAAAUUAGUGAUGGCUGACCUGUAUAUAUAUACACUAGUGACACUGAGAAUAGCGAGCUAAUGAUCAUCAUAGUGGAACAGUUUAGUAGCACCAUAGUAGAACAAUGUGUUGGCAUCAUAGUGGAAAGAUGUAUAAACACCAUAGUUGAGAUGUAUUGCUGCCAUUGGAUAGAUGUCACAAUAAGGUUUGCUGUGAUCUUUGCCUAAGGGGAUAUGAACACUAGUAAUGCAAGUUUAACACUCGUACAGUACCAACCACAGUAUAGUGGUACCUCGAGUUACGAACUUAAUUCAUUCCAGAAGGCUGUUCGAGUGCCAAUACCAAACUAAUUUGUCCCAAUUAGGAAUAAUGUAAAUUAGAUUAGUCCAUUGCAGACCCCCAAACAUACACUUGUUCGCGUUGGGAGCUGUUCGAAACUCGAGGUACCACCGUACUAUGGUACAGUUGUCAAAACAUUUAGUCUUAUAAAUUCCAUAGGAUAGUGCAAAACCCAUAGGAAACAUUUGGUGCCUGAGGAAUGGGGGACAGGGUAAUCAGGUUUGAUCUGAGGAAAGGAAGAGUAGUUCAAAGCCCUCUGUUGAAAUCUUAGGAAUCUGUCAUGGUUACCUUUGCUGGCCCCUUCAAAGGGUUUACUUCGAUGUUGGUGAAAGGCUUUGGAUUCAAGGAAUGGUUGAGUAAAACCUGUCUAGCACGGGAUAAUAGGCCUACUGCAGUGCUGCUCUAAUGAAAUUGGAUCCACACUUGUAUCAGACCUGGUUGCCUUACAUUCCCUCAGGCACUGUAUUACCUGUGUGGGUUUAGUUCUCUUCCAUGUAGUAAUAGUUUUAGAAAAAUCAGUAUUAUCAUUGUUGUUAUCAACCCCAAAUCCUUAUAAGUUUAGAGUUAUCCCAUGAACAUACCAUUGCUGGUACUAAAUUGGUAGCCACUCCCAUCUCUGCAAACUGACAAGAGUAACACUUUUUCUUAACUGGUCUGACACAAGUAGCUAUUGUUGAAACAAAUCUUUCAGACACAAAUAUGGGUUUAGUACUCUGAGUAUAACACAAAAAUAGUAGUAAUCUUGCACAAAAUGACACUUUUUAAACUUAAUGCAGAUAAAAAGUAUUUAACUUAUUUCCUGUCUGUCUCGAGAAAUAAAGUUUUUA
Molecule: non-coding RNA, 3395 nt
Organism: Cherax quadricarinatus
Lineage: Eukaryota; Metazoa; Arthropoda; Malacostraca; Decapoda; Parastacidae
Source: RefSeq, a predicted model, not a curated record